Molecule: long non-coding RNA, 1753 nt
Organism: Oncorhynchus tshawytscha (Chinook salmon)
Lineage: Eukaryota; Metazoa; Chordata; Actinopteri; Salmoniformes; Salmonidae
Source: Ensembl
CAGAGUGCUGUGACAGGGGUAAACUGUUAACUCAGACAAUUACUGGUUGAGAUCCUUGGAGGUGGAACAUCUCUCUCCGGAGACCACCGCCUCUCAAAGACGCUUUCCCCAAGACAGAAACAGUGACCUUAUUACUUCCAGAGGGAAUACUUCUUUCUCUCUUUUCUCUUUAAUUUGACAAGUCAUAGUGUUGUGCUAUAGUGAGAUGGAAUUACAUCAUCAACUGCAUGGAACAGAGCAGAGCUAGGCACUGCUAGGCCUUUUCAACAUGUGCUGUUGAUCUUGGCCAAGGUGUCUGGAGCAGUGCAAGGCCCGGUGAGAGGUCCGGGAAACAAGAGGUCCCUCUCAGGCUAGGAGGAGAGGGUCGGUAGGAGGGAUGCAAUGAUAGCAGACCUCUACAACCACCUGUCGAUAAGAAUGCACCUACCAGUUGACCUUGGAGCUCUCCCUUACUGCUGGCUUUUGGUUCAAAGAGAUAAACCCAAUGGCUACAUCCCGAAUGGCACCCUGUUCCCUAUAUAGUGCACUACUUUGAACCCAGAGGGCUCUGUUCAAAGUAGUGUGCUGCAUAGGGAAUAAGGGUGCCGUUUGGGAUGUAGCCAUUGGGUUUAUCUCUUUGACCCAGUACCACGCAGUACCACGCACAGUCAUAUCAAUGAAUUUUCUCAUUGUGUAACAGCGCACCUAUAUGUGUGUCAUAACUACUCUACAAUACGUAUUCAAGGACAUUUGCUUGGCUACUAAGAUGUGUUUUCAUUGAGUUAUACAUGUGAUGCAAUUUGGGUGUUAUUCGUUAUUUUCUUUAAAAUAGCCAAGUUAAAUUACCAAUCUGCUGUUUUGUAGCCAAGAGGUGAACACGGUACACAAGCGACAAUAUGGAUCUACUUAAAGUAGUUUAUCACAUGGAUUUCUUCCCUCGGAAAGAAGUGUGAGACAGCUCUCUGAAUGGUAAAACAUCUCUGAACAUCAAAGGUGCUAGAAUGUGGGCCUGGGGUGAAGGAAUCGUCCCACUGUGAACACGGGGUUAAGACAGGCCCCACUCUGCCGUUCACUCCUGUCAUAAAAACAACAGGCAACCAAGUGAUGAUCAUACAAAUGUAUUUAUCUGCCCUGAAAUCAAGCGCUGAGAAUCUUUCCAGCCAAUUGGAUGUCCGAGUGUGAUUCCCAGGGCCGGGGAGGAAGAGGGUUUAUUUUUGGGAAGGAGAGGGCUGGCCCAUCAAAGACCAGGCUGAUGACAACAGGAGUUGUGUGUAAUGUAUUUAUCUGCUGGGUUCUGCCUUUCAUGACGCGCUUCUUGUUAAAUGUAAUCAGGGCUCUGUGUGUUUGUCAUGGCAGGGCCUGAACAAUAAGGACAACCCUGUCUUACCAUACAGGACUAGCAUUGUCGACUGAUACACAGUAGUCGACACUCACAGGUCACAGAAAACGGGCAAGGCCGCCACCUGUCAGGCAUUAAGGGUACUGCACUGACUGUUAGGCACAGGUAAUGUUUAUCAUGACACGCCAGACAACACAAGCAUUUUUUGCUGCAGGUUAUUGUGGUUUUGAUAAUUAGGACUCAUACUCGUCUGAUACAAAGUAUGAAAAAGGUUCAGAAAGCACCAAAAUGGUCUCUAUUACUGCUGUCAUACUAUUCACAUUAUAUCGUGCCUCAGAAUUUAUUUUAAAAAACUUUUGAAAAAUAAAUAUUUCACAAAACCAGGUGAAGUAUUAGCUGGAAGAUAAGUGUGUGUUGUGAAUGGAUUGUUUUGAG